UGGCGAACGGGUGAGUAAUACAUCGGAACGUGUCCGCUCGUGGGGGACAACCAGCCGAAAGGUUGGCUAAUACCGCAUGAGUUCUACGGAAGAAAGAGGGGGACCCGCAAGGGCCUCUCGCGAGCGGAGCGGCCGAUGACUGAUUAGCCGGUUGGUGAGGUAACGGCACACCAAAGCAACGAUCAGUAGCUGGUCUGAGAGGACGACCAGCCACACUGGGACUGAGACACGGCCCAGACUCCUACGGAAGGCAGCAG
RNAcentral lists this ribosomal RNA (257 nucleotides) under uncultured bacterium. RNAcentral describes it as "partial 16S ribosomal RNA". It matches the Rfam family "Bacterial small subunit ribosomal RNA", at positions 96 to 354 of the family's 1533-position model. The record is from RNAcentral.